Oryza sativa (Asian cultivated rice) is the source of this 107-nucleotide small nucleolar RNA. It matches the Rfam family "Plant small nucleolar RNA R71". From Rfam's summary of the family: R71 is a member of the C/D box family of snoRNAs containing the C (UGAUGA) and D (CUGA) box motifs. Multiple nearly identical copies of this snoRNA have been identified in Arabidopsis, and it is thought to function as a 2'-O-ribose methylation guide for 18S ribosomal RNA. The record is from Rfam. NCBI's taxonomy places the organism in Eukaryota, Viridiplantae, Streptophyta, Magnoliopsida, Poales, Poaceae.
AUCCCAAGAUGAGGAUAGGCGACCAUAUAUUCCUGAAGUCGUUCCCACGCCCCAUUAAUGGACUCAUCCCUCGUCUGCUGAAAACUUAGGAUUCUCCCACGAAGGGC